GCCCCCGUAGCUCAGUGGAUUAGAGCGUCUCCCUGCGGAGGAGAAGGCCACACGUUCGAAUCGUGUCGGGGGUA
Molecule: transfer RNA, 74 nt
Filed under: Anaerolineae bacterium
Lineage: Bacteria; Bacillati; Chloroflexota; Anaerolineae
Description: tRNA-Arg
Rfam family: tRNA
About the family: Transfer RNA (tRNA) molecules are approximately 80 nucleotides in length. Their secondary structure includes four short double-helical elements and three loops (D, anti-codon, and T loops).
Source: RNAcentral